GACGAACGCUGGCGGCGUGCUUAACACAUGCAAGUCGAACGGAAAGGCCCUGCUUUUGUGGGGUGCUCGAGUGGCGAAAGGGUGAGCAACACGUGAGUAACCUGCCCUUGACUUUGGGAUAACUUCAGGAAACUGGGGCUAAUACCGGAUAGGAGCUCCUGCUGCAUGGUGGGGGUUGGAAAGUUUCGGCGGUUGGGGAUGGACUCGCGGCUUAUCAGCUUGUUGGUGGGGUAGUGGCUUACCAAGGCUUUGACGGGGAGCCGGCCUGAGAGGGUGACCGGCCACACUGGGACUGGGAUACGGCCCAGACUCCUACGGGAGGCAGCAGUUGGGAAUAUUGCGCAAUGGGCGGAAGCCUGAUGCAGCAACGCCGCGUGCGGGAUGACUGCCUUCGGGUUGUAAACCGCUUUCGCCUGUGACGAGGCGUGAGUGACGGUAAUGGGUAAAGAAGCACCGGCUAACUACGUG
RNAcentral lists this ribosomal RNA (468 nucleotides) under uncultured bacterium. RNAcentral's name for it is "partial 16S ribosomal RNA". It matches the Rfam family "Bacterial small subunit ribosomal RNA", at positions 28 to 507 of the family's 1533-position model. The record is from RNAcentral.